RNAcentral lists this ribosomal RNA (444 nucleotides) under uncultured bacterium. Its description in RNAcentral is "partial 16S ribosomal RNA". It matches the Rfam family "Bacterial small subunit ribosomal RNA", at positions 338 to 795 of the family's 1533-position model. The record is from RNAcentral.
CCUACGGGUGGCAGCAGUGGGGAAUAUUGGGCAAUGGAGGCAACGCUUACCCAGCAAUGCCGCGUGAAUGAAGAAGGUCUUCGGAUUGUAAAGUUCUUUUGUUGGGGACGAAAAAAAUGACGGUACCCCAAGAAGAAGCCCCGGCUAACUAAGUGCCAGCAGCCGUGGUAAUACGUAGGGGGCAAGCGUUGGUCGGAAUGACUGGGCGUAAAGGGUGUGGAGGGUGUGUAGGAAGUUAGAAGUGAAAUACCUAGGGAUUAACUAAGGUGCUGCUAUUAAAACUGCUAUACUUGAGUGCAGGAGAGGAAAGUGGAAUUCCUAGUGUAGCGGUGAAAUGCGUAGAUAUCAGGAGGAACACCAAUGGCGAAGGCGACUUUCUAGACUGUAACUGACGCUGAUGCACGAAAGCGUGGGGAGCAAACAGGAUUAGAUACCCCUGUAGUC